AUACGUAGGGUGCAAGCGUUAAUCGGAAUUACUGGGCGUAAAGCGUGCGCAGGCGGUUUUGCAAGACAGUGGUGAAAUCCCCGGGCUCAACCUGGGAACUGCCAUUGUGACUGCAAGGCUGGAGUGCGGCAGAGGGGGAUGGAAUUCCGCGUGUAGCAGUGAAAUGCGUAGAUAUGCGGAGGAACACCGAUGGCGAAGGCAAUCCCCUGGGCCGGCACUGACGCUCAUGCACGAAAGCGUGGGGAGCAAACAGGAUUAGAUACCCUGGUAGUCCACGCCCUAAACGAUGUCAACUGGUUGUUGGGUCUUCAUUGACUCAGUAACGAAGCUAACGCGUGAAGUUGACCGCCUGGGGAGUACGGCCGCAAGGUUGAAACUUAAAGGAAUUGACGGGG
This 395-nucleotide ribosomal RNA is filed under the name uncultured bacterium. RNAcentral's name for it is "partial 16S ribosomal RNA". It matches the Rfam family "Bacterial small subunit ribosomal RNA", at positions 523 to 918 of the family's 1533-position model. The record is from RNAcentral.